This 445-nucleotide ribosomal RNA is filed under the name uncultured bacterium. RNAcentral describes it as "partial 16S ribosomal RNA". It matches the Rfam family "Bacterial small subunit ribosomal RNA", at positions 354 to 796 of the family's 1533-position model. The record is from RNAcentral.
GUGAGGAAUAUUGGUCAAUGGGCGGGAGCCUGAACCAGCCAAGUCGCGUGAGGGAAGAAGGAUCUAUGGUUCGUAAACUUCUUUUGCAGGGGAAUAAAGUGCAGGACGUGUCCUGUUUUGUAUGUACCCUGAGAAUAAGGAUCGGCUAACUCCGUGCCAGCAGCCGCGGUAAUACGGAGGAUCCGAGCGUUAUCCGGAUUUAUUGGGUUUAAAGGGUGCGUAGGUGGUUUGAUAAGUCAGCGGUGAAAGUUUGCAGCUUAACUGUAAAAAUGCCGUUGAAACUGUCGGACUUGAGUGUAAAUGAGGUAGGCGGAAUGCGUGGUGUAGCGGUGAAAUGCAUAGAUAUCACGCAGAACUCCGAUUGCGAAGGCAGCUUACUAAGCUACAACUGACACUGAAGCACGAAAGCGUGGGGAUCAAACAGGAUUAGAAACCCCGGUAGUCC